CUGCGGUAAUACGUAGGGGGCGAGCGUUAUUCGGAAUUACUGGGUGUAAAGGGUAUGUAGGCGGCCCUUCAAGUCGCGUGUCAAAGUCCAGUGCUCAACGCUGGGUGUGCGCGCGAUACUGACGGGCUUGAGGGCUGGAGAGGUGAGCGGAAUUCCCGGUGUAGUGGUAAAAUACGUAGAGAUCGGGAGGGACACCAGCGGCGCAGGCGGCUCACUAGACAGUUUCUGACGCUAAGAUACGAAAGCGUGGGGAGCAAACA
Molecule: ribosomal RNA, 260 nt
Filed under: uncultured bacterium
Lineage: Bacteria
Description: partial 16S ribosomal RNA
Rfam family: Bacterial small subunit ribosomal RNA
Source: RNAcentral